This 253-nucleotide ribosomal RNA is filed under the name uncultured bacterium. Its description in RNAcentral is "partial 16S ribosomal RNA". It matches the Rfam family "Bacterial small subunit ribosomal RNA", at positions 524 to 776 of the family's 1533-position model. The record is from RNAcentral.
AACGUAGGUCCCGAGCGUUAUCCGGAUUUACUGGGCGUAAAGCGUGCGUAGACGGCUAUCUAAGUCGGGUGUGAAAGCCCCGGGCUCAACCUGGGAAUUGCAUUCGAGACUGAAUAGCUAGGGUGCGGUAGAGGGAAGCGGAAUUUCCGGUGUAGCGGUGAAAUGCGUAGAUAUCGGAAGGAACAUCAGUGGCGAAAGCGGCUUCCUGGACCAGCACCGACGUUCAGGCACGAAAGCGUGGGGAGCAAACAGG